This 584-nucleotide ribosomal RNA is filed under the name Aspergillus oryzae. RNAcentral's name for it is "eukaryotic LSU rRNA". The stretch from base 201 to 354 matches the Rfam family "5.8S ribosomal RNA". The record is from RNAcentral. RNAcentral also lists the same sequence under 1 other name. Lineage: Eukaryota; Fungi; Ascomycota; Eurotiomycetes; Eurotiales; Aspergillaceae.
CCUGCGGAAGGAUCAUUACCGAGUGUAGGGUUCCUAGCGAGCCCAACCUCCCACCCGUGUUUACUGUACCUUAGUUGCUUCGGCGGGCCCGCCAUUCAUGGCCGCCGGGGGCUCUCAGCCCCGGGCCCGCGCCCGCCGGAGACACCACGAACUCUGUCUGAUCUAGUGAAGUCUGAGUUGAUUGUAUCGCAAUCAGUUAAAACUUUCAACAAUGGAUCUCUUGGUUCCGGCAUCGAUGAAGAACGCAGCGAAAUGCGAUAACUAGUGUGAAUUGCAGAAUUCCGUGAAUCAUCGAGUCUUUGAACGCACAUUGCGCCCCCUGGUAUUCCGGGGGGCAUGCCUGUCCGAGCGUCAUUGCUGCCCAUCAAGCACGGCUUGUGUGUUGGGUCGUCGUCCCCUCUCCGGGGGGGACGGGCCCCAAAGGCAGCGGCGGCACCGCGUCCGAUCCUCGAGCGUAUGGGGCUUUGUCACCCGCUCUGUAGGCCCGGCCGGCGCUUGCCGAACGCAAAUCAAUCUUUUUCCAGGUUGACCUCGGAUCAGGUAGGGAUACCCGCUGAACUUAAGCAUAUCAAUAAGCGGAGGAA